This is a ribosomal RNA of Pteropus vampyrus (large flying fox), 118 nucleotides long. The record is from Ensembl. NCBI's taxonomy places the organism in Eukaryota, Metazoa, Chordata, Mammalia, Chiroptera, Pteropodidae.
GUCUACCGCCAUGCCACCCUGAACAAGCAGGUCCCGUCUGAUCUCGCAGGCUAAGCAGGGUUUGGCCCGCUCAGUCCUUGCAUGGGAGACCACCUAGGAAGACCAGGUGCUGUAGGCG